GUCCAAUGAACGCUCGUUUGGUUUAUUACGGUAUUAACGUAAAAGAUAACAUAUCCGAUACUUGGCGAGCAACGAUCAGGAACGAAUAAGCGCGAAGGUGGCCGAAAGAUGGCGAAGAGAGAGACGGUAGAGAAGGGGAUUUCGAUUAAUUAGCAAUCCAAGAUGUUGCAUUACGAGAGCAGAUGUAGAUGGUAAUCAAGAUUAUCCCUGAUUUGUUCUGCCGGUAAAUUGUGCCUUCGGAUUUUGCGACCAGCAUCUUCAUUAAUCCUGAUCUUUCGAAUGUUUCGAUUCAAUCUUAUUUGUUACGCGUACUGUGCACGUAAUAUGAGUGUAUCGAUAUCGAACUCGUAAUUUUGCGAUAUCGAUUAAUUAUCGUAGGCGAAUUCAGUUCAGUGGGAUGUGCACGUUGUUCGUGUUCGCGUUUCAUGUAGAAUUGUGAUUUUAUGUUAAAUUUUCUUGUGCAGAAGAUAGAAAAUAGAAAAUAGAAAAAGAACGAGUGAUUUGAGGUGAAAUCAACGAUGGGGAUAGCGAAGAACGAAUAUAUAAAUAAGAUUAGAGAAUCAUCAGAAAUCAACGGAUACUAAUUGCUAAUUACCAACCACUCGAUCGAUGAAUUUUUAUAAUAAGGCUAGAAUCGCACAAAGCAAACGAGAAGAAUAAUCUCCAGGUUUGACUCAAUUGGAAAAUUCGAAAUGGGAUGGUUUAUUGACCCGGUAUAUUUAUAGAGAAGGCAGUUUCCGAUGCUAUGCGAAUGUUGUUUCACCGGGAAUCGAGAGACUGUAAAUUGAGUGGAACCGGAUGAGACGAUUAAGAGACGAUUCUCUACGAUCGACGAAACUGGAAUGAAAUAUACAUGGUUAGGUUCGUAAAGUUGGAUCGGAUACGAAACGUGGAAACGCCGUUUCGAUGGGCGAGAGCCAUUUUGUUUUGGAAAAUGGGCAGUUGUAUAACUCGGGCUGUUAAGGAGUUAGCGGAUAAACUGUUUACGAUCUCUGUGAUAGUAUUUAACUGGAAAAGCUGGACCGCCGUGUUUCUAUCGUGUUUGUCAAUAGAGAAUACAGCUCUAUAAUUCCAGGUUAGGCGAAUCGGAUUAAUCUUAUUUGAAUAAAUAUGAGAUGUCUACGAAAGAAUCAAGGAUCGAUACAUUUCAAGGAAAUAUUAUGUAUUUUAAAAUUUAUUUACCAUGUAUAUUUUAAGGUAUAAAUCAAAAAGGUUGUAGCAUAAAAUAUUAAUAUUCAUAAAUCAUUGAAGG
This is a long non-coding RNA of Apis cerana (Asiatic honeybee), 1252 nucleotides long. RefSeq lists it as uncharacterized. The record is from RefSeq and is a predicted model, not a curated record. Lineage: Eukaryota; Metazoa; Arthropoda; Insecta; Hymenoptera; Apidae.